UAGCGGCGGGCUUACACACUGCAGUCGAGGGGCAACAUGAGGUCUAUGUUUUUAGAUUUCGAUGGCGACCGGCGAACGGGUGCGUAACACGUACGUAACUUACCUUUUGCUAGAAAAUAGCCUGAGGAAACUUGGAUUAAUAUUCUAUAACAUAGUAUUAUUGCAUGAUAAUAUUAUUAAAGCAGAUAUGCGGCAAAAGAUAGGCGUGCGUCUGAUUAGUUAGUUGGUAGGGUAAAAGCCUACAAAGACAAUGAUCGGUAGGGGGCCUGAGAGGGUGAUCCCCCACACUGGUACUGAGAUACGGACCAGACUCCUACGGGAGGCAGCAGUGAGGAAUAUUGGUCAAUGGAGGAAACUCUGAACCAGCCACGCCGCGUGCAGGAAGAAGGCCCUAUGGGUUGUAAACUGCUUUUGUAUAGGAAUAAAAAUUCUUACGAGAUAAGAAUCAUGAAGGUACUAUACGAAUAAGUGUCGGCAAACUCCGUGACCAGCAGCCGCGGUAAUACGGAGGACACAAGCGUUAUCCGGAUUUAUUGGGUUUAAAGGGUGCGUAGGCGGUUUAUUAAGUCAGUAGUGAAAUGUUGCAGCU
This 589-nucleotide ribosomal RNA is filed under the name uncultured bacterium. RNAcentral describes it as "bacterial SSU rRNA". It matches the Rfam family "Bacterial small subunit ribosomal RNA", at positions 37 to 609 of the family's 1533-position model. The record is from RNAcentral.